AUAAGUUGACUGUUAGGACGUUGAGAGAAAGAACUCUAUGUUUGAAGUAUCUGAAGGAUGGGUUGAAUGGAAUGAGGGGAUAAAUUGUUAGGUUGUAUUGGGAUGAUUACCUUGUAGGUGUCCCACGGGAUCACCAAUUUAUUUUUGCACCUUCGGGAGCAUUUGACUGAUAUGUGUUCUGCAGAACACUAGACUGAUAUGUACGUCCCUCGGGGCGUUAGACUGAUAUGUACGUCCUUCGGGGCGUUAGACUGAAAUGUGUAUCCUACGGGAUCACAAGACUGCGACUGUACAGGGUGUCCCAAUAGAACUUUAACAAUUUAUUUUCCCCUGACGAGACCAGUAGAGGGUCUCUUACUGAGUAUUUAAAAUACUCACCCUUCUUAUGUUUAAUUUUCAGGCAAAGGUAAUAAAGGCGGCAAACCGGCGAGGGGCAGGAAGGAAGCGUGAUGCCAUAGGAAACGUGUAAUUGCUUCCGCUUAAUUAAGAUUGAUUUGAAAUUUAGUUUACAAACGUUUGUUGCAAACAGUAUUAGUUUAUGUUUUCUUGAAUGUUUAAAAAUCAGGCCUGACUUGAAGAUGUUUUUUUUUUUUAAAUUGCUUACGUUUUUUUUUUAUUUUAAUCAGAGUCUUUUAUUUGUUAAAAACUAACGAUCUCGACUUACUUAGAAAAGUUGGGUCGUUACAGUUGGUAUCAGAGCCUAAGUUUUAGGUUCUGUAGACUGACUUACGAUGUAAGUCUAUGUUUUUGUGUUCCUAUGGCAAACGCGACCCUUCGUCUCUCGUCAGGUAUGCUUUAUGCUUAUAUGUAUGGUUUAUUUGCAUGACCUUGCCUAAAUUAAACUAGAUUGCAUGACGAUAAAGACUUGCUUAUGUUUAUGAUUAAGAUUUUGUUAAAGAGUGUUGUUGGUGGGUAAUAGGAAUUAUGCCGCCAAGGGAAGAAGUACGUAGAGGAGGUCGUAGAGGCCGAGGUAGAGGAGUAGUAGGGCCGAGGUAGAGGAGCAGGUCGUAAUCAGCCUACUGGGGUCAAGCUGAACAGCAAAUUCCUGCUGCACCCGUGACUCACGUUGAGUUUGAUGCACUGUCUGCUCACAUGGAGCAGAGGUUUACAGAACUUAUGACAGCUAUAGCUCAAAACCAGCAGGCACCUGCAGUCCCACCUGCACCUGUAGUUCCCCCUGCACCAGCAGCCCCUCCUGCACAAGAAUUACCUAACCAACUUUCUGCUGAGGCGAAACAUUUGAGGGACUUUCGGAAGUAUGACCUCAGACGUUUGAUGGGUCACUGGAGGAUCCUACUAAAGCUGAAAUGUGGUUGUCCUAUGUGGAAACCAUAUUUAAUUACAUGAGAUGUCCUGAGGAGCACAGAGUUCAGUGUGCUGCUUUUCUACUGAGGGACAGAGGCAUUAUCUGGUGGAGGACUACAAUGCGCAUGCUAGGUGGAGAUGUGAGGCAGAUUACCUGGGAUCAGUUUAAGGACUGCUUCUAUACCAAGUUUUUCUCGGCUAACCUUAGAGACGCCAAAAGCCAGGAAUUCUUGGAGUUGAAGCAAGGAUAUAUGACAGUCGAGGAGUACGACCAGGAGUUUGAUAUGCUGUCACGUUUUGCCCCUGAGCUUGUUAGUAAUGAGCAGGCUAGAGCUGAUAGGUUCGUCAAGGGAUUGAGAGAUGAAAUUAGGGGUUUGUGCGAGCACUAAAGCCCACUACCCAAGCUGAAGCACUGCGUCUGGCAGUGGAUAUGAGUAUUGGGAAGGAUGAAAGACAGCCAAGGAGCUUUAAUAAGGGAUCGUCGUCGGGUCAAAAGAGAAAAGUAGAGCAGAUAACUGUAGGAGUUCCUCAGAGGAACAUGAGACCAGGUGAUUCUUUUCGCAGUUUCCAGCAGAAUUCUGGCGCGUGCAGGAGACACUACUCAAGAGAGGCCAGUAUGUGAUACGUGUGGGAAACGCCACCUGGGUCGUUGUUUGAUGGAACGAGAGUCUGUUAUAAGUGCAAGCAAGAGGGACACAUGGCUGAUAGGUGUCCCUUGAGAUCUACUGGGGCUGGAUCGAGCAGUCAGGGAGAGAGACCUCCACAGCGGGGUACAAUCUUUGCCACUAAUAGAUCAGAGGCAGAGAAGGCCGGCACAGUAGUGACAGGUACGUUACCAGUAUUGGGGCAUUUUGCCUUGACCUUGUUUGACUCGGGAUCUUCUCAUUCAUUUAUUUCAUCGCUUUUUGUGACGCAUGCAUGCUUAGAAGUGGAACCUUAGACUAUGUUUUGUCAGUGUCUACACCGUCUGGAGAAAUUAUGUUGUCUAAGGAAAAGAUUAAAGCAUGUGAAAUUGAAAUAGCUGGUCGUGUGUACUGGACGUAACCUUGUUGGUAUUAGAUAUGCGUGACUUUGAUGUAAUUUUAGGUAUGGAUUGGCUAGCUACUAAUGAUGCUAGUAUUGAUUGUUCUCGUAAGGAAGUUGUGUUUAGUCCCCCUACUGCAUCUAGCUUUAAAUUCAAGGAGUAGGAACAGUAGUACUGCCUAAAGUAAUCUCAGCUAUGAAAGCUAGUAAACUACUCAACCAGGGUACUUGGAGUAUUUUGGCAAGUGUGGUGGAUACUAGGGAAGGUGAGACUUCUUUAACUUCAGAACCUGUGGUAAGAGACUACCCAGAUGUAUUUCCAAAAGAUCUUCCAGGACUACCGCCACAUAGAGAGGUUGAUUUUGCCAUUGAGUUGGAGCCAAACACUACUCCUAUUUCUAGAGCCCCUUAUAGGAUGGCUCCUGCUGAGUUGAAAGAACUGAAGGUACAGUUACAGAAUUGCUUGACAAAGGCUUUAUUCGACCUAGUGUGUCACCUUGGGGUGCACCAGUAUUGUUUGUGAAGAAGAAGGAUGGGUCGAUGCGUCUUUGCAUUGACUAUAGAGAGUUGAAUAAAGUAACAGUCAAGAACAGGUAUCCUUUACCCAGAAUCGAUGAUUUUGUUCGAUCAGUUACAGGGAGCCACGGUGUUCUCUAAGAUUGACUUACGGUCAGGUUAUCACCAGUUGAGGAUUAGAGACCGUGAUAUUCCUAAGACUGCCUUUCGUUCGAGGUAUGGACAUUAUGAAUUCAUAGUGAUGUCUUUUGUUUGACUAAUGCACCUGCUGUAUUUAUGGAUUUGAUGAACAGGGUGUUUAAGGAUUUCUUGGACACUUUUGUGAUAGUCUUCAUUGAUGAUUAUCUUGGUUUAUUCCAAGACUGAAGUCGAACAUGAGGAACAUUUUACAUAAGGUAUUAGAGACUCUUCGAGCCAAUAAACUGUAUGCUAAGUUCUCGAAGUGCGAAUUUUGGUUGAAGCAAGUGACUUUUCUUGGUCAUGUGGUUUCCAGUGAGGGAGUUUCAGUAGACCUGCAAAGAUAGAAGCUGUUACCAGUUGGUCUCGACCCUCCACAGUUGGUGAGGUUCGUAGUUUUCUGGUGUUUAGCAGGGUACUACCGGAGGUUUGUGGAGGAUUUUUCAACGUUUGGCUACUCCUUUGACUCAGUUGACAAGGAAGGGAACUCCGUUUGUUUGGAGUCCAGCUUGUGAGGAUAGUUUUCAGAACCUUAAGCAAAGGUUAGUUACUGCACCGGUCCUUACUGUACCAGAUGGAUCAUUGGAAGUUUGUGAUUUACAGUGAUGCUUCCAAGAAAGGACUGGGUUGUGUUUUGAUGCAGAAAGGUAAGGUGGUUGCUUAUGCCUCUCGUCAGUUGAAGAGUCACGAAGCAGAACUACCCACACAUGAUUUGGAGUUGGCAGCAGUGGUUUUUUGCAUUGAAGAUAUGGAGACAUUACUUUGUACGGUGAAAAGAUACAAAUCUUUACUGACCAUAAGAGCCUAAAGUACUUCUUCACUCAGAAGGAGUUGAAUAUGAGACAGCCGAAGGUGGCUCGAGUUGGUAAAAGAUUAUGACUGUGAGAUAUUAUACCAUCCUGGUAAGGCGAAUGUGGUGGCUGAUGCUCUUAGUAGAAAAGCAUCACAUUCGUGCAGCACUCAUUACUAGACAGGUACCAUUGCAUCGAGACUUGGAGAGAGCUGAGAUUGCAGUGUCUGUGGGAGAGAGUCACCUCACAGCUAGCUCAAUUAACGGUGCAACCGACUCUGAGGCAGCAAGAUUGUUGAUGGCUCAGAGUAAUGAUCCUUAUUUGAUGGGAGAGACGUAGCCUUGUUGAACAGGGCAGACUGAUGAGUUCUCCAUAUCCUCUGAUGGUGGGUUUGAUGUUUGAGAGACGUUUAUGUGUGCCAGCGAACAGUACAGUUAAGAUUGACUUACUAGAUGAAGCCCAUAAUUCCCCAUUUUCCAUGCAUCCUGGUAGCACGAAAAUGUAUCAGGAUCUAAAACGAUUUUAUUGGUGGCGGAAUAUGAAAAGAAGUGGCGGAAUUUGUUAGUAAGUGUCUAGUAUGUCAGCAAGUUAAGGCACCUAGACAGAAACCAGCAGGUUUAUUACAACCUUUAAGUGUGCCAGAGUGGAAGUGGGAGAAUGUGUCGAUGGAUUUUAUUUCAGGGCUGCCUAAGACCCUGAAGGGUUUCACAGUGAUUCUGGUUGUCAUAGACAGGCUUACAAAAUCGGCACAUUUUGUACCAGGAAAAUCCACUUAUACUGCUAGUAAGUGGGCAGAGUUGUAUUUAACUGAGAUUGUGAGACUGCAUGGAGUGCCUGUAUCGAUUGUUUCUGAUAGGGAUGCACGGUUUACUUCCAAGUUUUGGAAGGGACUUCAGACUGCUAUGGGUACGAGAUUGGAUUUCAGUACAGCCUUUCAUCCACAGACUGAUGGUCAAACUGAACGUUUGAACCAAGUUUUAGAGGAUAUGCUACGAGCUUGUGUUAUAGAGUUUCCAGGUAGUUGGGACUCUCAUCUACAUUUGAUGGAGUUUGCUUAUAACAACAGUUUCCAGGCUACCAUCGGUAUGGCACCAUUUGAGGCUUUAUAUGGCAAAUGUUGUAGAACCCCUGUUUGUUGGAGUGAGGUUGGUGAACAUAGAUUGAUGGGACCUGAAUUAGUUCGGUCUACUAAUGAGGCUAUUCAAAAGAUUAGAGCACGUAUGCAAACAGCGCAGAGUAGACAGAAGAGUUAUGCGGAUGUACGACGAAAAGACCUUAAGUUCGAUGUGGGAGAAAAGGUAUUCUUGAAGGUAGCACCUAUGAAGGGUGUUAUGCGUUUUGAGAAGAAAGGAAAGUUAAGUCCUCGUUUUGUUGGACCAUUUGAGAUCUUAGAGAGGGUUGGUGUUGUGGCGUAUCGCUUGGCAUUACCACCAUCUCUCUCUGCAGUUCAUAAUGUUUUCAUGUUUCGAUGUUGAGGAAGUAUGUGGCCGAUACGUCUCAUGUAGUGGACUAUGAACCCUUGGAGAUUGAUGAGCAUUUGAGCUAUGUAGAACAACCUGUGGAGAUUCUGGCUAGAGAGGUAAAGAUGCUUCGUAAUAGAAGCAUUCCAUUAGUAAAGGUUUUGUGGCGGAAUCAUCGAAUUGAAGAGGCGACAUGGGAGCGAGAGGAAGAGAUGAGGACUCGUUAUCCAGAGUUAUUUCAGGAUUAAAACUUUCGAGGACGAAAGUUUCUUAAGGAGGGAAGAAUGUAAUGCCCCAAAGGUAUGUAUAUAUAUAUAUUUUGUUUUUAAUUUUAUAUAUAUAUAUAUUUAUACUUAAUUUAAAUAAAAAGAAAGAAAAGAAAAGAAUAUUUUUCCUUCCUUCUUCCUCUCGCACGAGCGUCGCACACAACCCCUCUCUCAUUUUCUUUUCUUCUUCCCGUCCCGCCGCAGCCAACCGCAGCCCAGCCGCAACCACACCUCUAUCUUCUUCUUCCCGUCCCGCCGCAGCCAACCGCAGCCCAGCCGCAACCACACCUCUAUCUUCUUCUUCCCGUCCCGCAGCUAGCCGCCGAUCCUUUCUUUCCAUUUUCUUCUUCCGUCCGCAGCCCCACCGCGAAGCAAGACUGCGCCGCUGCCAGUCCAGAUCUGCGGCGCCGUUGCUCUUCCGUCGCUGCAACCGCGGCCGCCAUCUCUGUUCGCGAAGCAAGGCCGCCGCGUGAACCUGUAACCGCCGGCUGUCUCCCCUCCCUUUCUCCUCUGUUUUCAGCCCAGCCGCCGCCGAUUCCUUCUCCUCCGUCGUCUGCACUGCCGCGCGACUCUCCGGCCAUUUGUAUACGGUCUCUCCGUCGCACGUCAUCUCUUCGCAAAGCCACUGCUCGAUUUCUUUCGUGAAGAUUUGGGUAAGUUGCAAAAAGAUUCACAUUGGGUUGAAUUUAAAUGACUGAUGCGUUGAAGGAAUUAUUGAGAAAUUGUCUUAAUGUUUAGGUUCGUUCUUCAUAGACUUCAACGUGGUUAAGGAGCUUAACAAAUUUGAAGGUAAGGGAUUUUCUACUGGACUCACUUAUGAUUGUGAAUUGCAUGUCUGAAUGAUUAUCUUUGACUGAGUAAAGAUGUUGAGAUGAUACUUAUGUUUAUACACGUAUGGGUGUAGAUUCGGUGCUGAAUGUACACUGUGGAUUGACUGAAAAUAUAUAUACAUAUGCAUAGGAAUUGAAGUAGACUUAAUGUGGAAUGCAUAUUGUGAUUGUCAUGGAAUAUAUAUAUAUGUGUGUGGAUGUGGACAGGACGAAAAUUGUAGAUUAUGCUUGUAUGAGAUGCAGAUGCGAUCUUGUGAUUGUCGUUUAGAUUGGGUGUCGUUACGCUAAAGUAUGACUGUGUGCUGGUGAUCUGAGGGGUGUAUUGACUGUAUAGUUUGAUUGACUGAUGUAUUAGUAUGUUAUUGACAGACAUAUGACCUAAGUGAGAUAAGUUGACUGUUAGGACGUUGAGAGAAAGAACUCUAUGUUUUGAAGUAUCUGAAGGAUGGGUUGAAUGGAAUGAGGGGAUAAAUUGUUAGGUUGUAUUGGGAUGAUUACCUUGUAGGUGUCCCACGGGAUCACCAAUUUAUUUUGCACCUUCGGGAGCAUUUGACUGAUAUGUGUUCUGCAGAACACUAGACUGAUAUGUACGUCCCUCGGGGCGUUAGACUGAUAUGUACGUCCUUCGGGCGUUAGACUGAAAUGUGUAUCCUACGGGAUCACAAGACUGCGACUGUACAGGGUG
RNAcentral lists this long non-coding RNA (7053 nucleotides) under Cucumis sativus (cucumber). RNAcentral describes it as "long non-coding RNA (CSAT_LNC001543)". The record is from RNAcentral. Lineage: Eukaryota; Viridiplantae; Streptophyta; Magnoliopsida; Cucurbitales; Cucurbitaceae.